This 654-nucleotide long non-coding RNA is filed under the name Ananas comosus (pineapple). Its description in RNAcentral is "long non-coding RNA (ACOM_LNC010043)". The record is from RNAcentral. Lineage: Eukaryota; Viridiplantae; Streptophyta; Magnoliopsida; Poales; Bromeliaceae.
UGUCUGGAUUCGAGACUUUUUGAUAGGUCUUCAUAAUGUGAAUUUGAAUUAAAUAGAAAAACAUAAACAAUACAAGGAGUCUGAUGUGACUCGAAUUCGAAACCUCCUAUUCUGAUAUUAGGUUAAAUUUGAGGAUAUGAUAUGAGUCCGGCUACUAUACUCUUAUGAGUACGAUCGCCCUCGUACUCAUAAGUUAUUUUCGAUGAUAAAGCUUCCGAAUUGACGAUUCACACCGUUAAACGUUAUCUAGAACAUUCAAAACUUCUAGAAAUUAAAAUUUAUAAUUUUUCGAUAUCAUUUACCUUACGAUCAAAAGUUCACAAAUUUAACAAUUUUUAACGGCCGGUAUGAGAUACUUACUAGUUUAACGGUGUAAAAGAAUUGGAAUAGGCUGAGUUUUUAAUAGAAAAUUCUAUUCGCUACCUAGAUAAAGAUAAAUAACUCCGAUUUUAAAUUGGAGAAUCCGAUCAUCUAUUUUUAGGACGUCGUUCGAUAUUGACCAUUCAUUUUAUGCCCGCUUGAUGGGACUUUAUUAUAUUUCGAAAAAUUAUGAAAUUUAUUUUCUAGAAGUUUCAAAUACUGUAGAUCAUAUUUAAUGGAGUAGAUCAUCGAUUCGAAAACUCUAUCAUCGAAAACAACUUAUGAAUACGAAGG